This 885-nucleotide long non-coding RNA is filed under the name Brassica napus (rape). RNAcentral describes it as "long non-coding RNA (BNAP_LNC015734)". The record is from RNAcentral. Lineage: Eukaryota; Viridiplantae; Streptophyta; Magnoliopsida; Brassicales; Brassicaceae.
CCUUCUUUGAUGCUCUAUAGAAGUCAUUGAUUCAUCCUCAAGAUGUAUCCUAUGCAUGCACAAAGAAGGUGAUAUCCCCUUAAUAUCAUCAAGUGAGUAACCUAACCUCCUAAGUUCAUUCAAAAGUUUAGACAACUCAAGUUCAUUAAGUUCACUACUCACUAUGACAGGUUAAGUCUCAUUAGGGCCAAAAAAGCAUACCUUACACCUUGGGGCAGAGGUUUAAGCUCCACUUUAGGCGCCUUGAGUUCACUCCAGUCCUCUUGAUGACUGUCUUCUUUUUAAGUAGCUGAGGCAGCAUGGUGAAUUUCAUGUGUAAGCUCCUCAUUCUGAUCUUCACCACCAAUUCCCUUGUGAGAAUCCAUCAUCUUCACAUAGGCAUCACUUUCCUUGUUCUCAACCACUUGGACCUCUCUUUCAAUUGUCAAAGCAUGCUGUAGAGGGUCUUCAAGUGCCAAUUCCUCUAGAAGCUCAUUAGCUAGAGCAUCCAUUUCAUCUAUGUAGAAAACUUGGUUCUAGAUGGUUGGCCUCUUCAUCACUUCAUUGAUGUCAAAGUCGAAGAUGUUCCCUUUUCCAAGAUGAAGAUCAAUCUCCCCUUCUCUGACAUUCACAAUAGCUCCUGCUAUGGCUAAGAAUGGUCUUCCAAGGAUCAAAGGGUCUUUGGCUUCCUCACCCAUCUCCAACACAACAAAAUCAUUAGGGAUCUCAAAGUUACCAACCAUCACGGGAAUGUCUUCUAGGAUAUCAACAGGAAUCUUCACUGAUCUAUCAGCCAACACCAAAGAGAGUCUACACUUCUUCUUGAGUAAAUCCAAGCUUCUUUGCAAUAGACAAAGGCAUCAAGCUGACACUAGCUCCAAUAUCACAUAGACACCUCUCAAACAC